Molecule: small nucleolar RNA, 108 nt
Organism: Hibiscus syriacus
Lineage: Eukaryota; Viridiplantae; Streptophyta; Magnoliopsida; Malvales; Malvaceae
Source: RefSeq, a predicted model, not a curated record
AAACCAUGCAUCACGCAUUUGCACAACAAAUCCUUAAAAUGCUCUCAGGCUUCAUAAAGGUUUUCAUCUUCUAUUUGCUUGAAAAAAAGUGAUAUCAUUUCUCAGCCU